This 253-nucleotide ribosomal RNA is filed under the name uncultured bacterium. Its description in RNAcentral is "partial 16S ribosomal RNA". It matches the Rfam family "Bacterial small subunit ribosomal RNA", at positions 524 to 776 of the family's 1533-position model. The record is from RNAcentral.
UACGAAGGGGGCUAGCGUUGCUCGGAAUCACUGGGCGUAAAGCGCACGUAGGCGGCUUUUUAAGUCAGGGGUGAAAUCCUGGAGCUCAACUCCAGAACUGCCUUUGAUACUGAGAAGCUUGAGUCCGGGAGAGGUGAGUGGAACUGCGAGUGUAGAGGUGAAAUUCGUAGAUAUUAGCUAGAACACCAGUGGCGAAGGCGGCCAACUGGUCCGGAACUGACGCUGAGGUGCGAAAGCGUGGGGAGCAAACAGG